Aethalodelphis obliquidens (Pacific white-sided dolphin) is the source of this 4785-nucleotide long non-coding RNA. RefSeq lists it as uncharacterized. The record is from RefSeq and is a predicted model, not a curated record. Lineage: Eukaryota; Metazoa; Chordata; Mammalia; Artiodactyla; Delphinidae. The transcript is spliced from 5 exons.
AACACGUAAACCUCCUCCCUUCUGGACGGUGCUGGAAAAUUCCCGAAAAAUGCUUCCUUUGGGGGGGCCUUGUUUUUCCCUUAUCUGGCAGGAUCCUUAACAUUCAACCGGAUAGGGAAAUACUUUUCAGAUACAAUCGUACUUUCUUAAAAUAAUAAGACGGGGAAGAUUUUGACGGGAAAAAUAAAUAGCAUUUCAAAAUCUCUCCACUGUUAAUCUAUCGCUGAAAGGACUUCACAUCCCCUAUGUAUCUUUUAUUGGGAGGAGAGGGAGAAGAAACGAAAAGCGUUUUCAUAUUGAGAGUUCUGUCUUUUUGUCCUUGGUUAAAUCCAUCUUCUAUCCCUGGGGAUAGUAUCUGUAUGGGAGGGAAGGUUCCUCGGGUCUUGGCGCACAGAGGCUGCCCGCAUCUGUGUUAGAGGAGAGAAAAGGCAGAGAGCUGAGAAGGAGAGAGGAAGCUUGCAGGAGGGGCUGCAGGCUCCAGGGCAAAUUGGCUCUGCAAAACCGGAGCAGGUAGGGGUGUGGGCCGGGGAGGAUGCCCGAUUCAUGUUUGCUGGUUCCGGGUGUAAAUGAGCUCACCGCGGCUGACUUGAGGUUACCACAUGUUUAACAGCUCGCCUGCAGGAGCCAGGUCCAGCUCAUCGCUGCACAGGACGCUGCAGCGGGCCUGCCGAUUUCCCUGACCCUCCUCCUGGGAUCAGAGGCACUUCCCUUAUGGGAGCACGGAUGAGAUCUGCUGUUUAGGAGAGGCUGGGACUAGAGCUAGUGUCCAAGCAGUUGUCACUGGGAGAAGCGCUCACCUGGACUCCAGGUGGCAGGAGACGCCCAGAAGGAAGGUCCUCUGGGAAUGGCCUGGGAGGUCUGGGGGGCAGGGGAGGGGGGUGCCUCAAGGAGGGAACGGGGGAGAGCACAGUGGCAGGGAAGGAGCCUCGAAAUGCAAGAAGAAGCCCCCUCUCUCCUUUCUUCCUUCCUCGUGGACGCGUAGAACAAGGCAGGGCUCAGACGGCUGGACGCUAACUCGCGGGCAGGCUGUUAGUUGGUGUGUGUGGGCAAACAGGGAUGGCAGAAGCUGCACCCCGUCCUUCCUGUUCCGGGGAUCCCCGAGGCCCUUCUCUUCCUCAGUCAGAGACCUUCGUCUGUCCUCUAUCAGACCAUCCUCUGACUCACAGUAAUGCGUAUGACACGAAUAUAAAUACAGCAAUUGGCUAUGAGAAUACUUGAAAUUAAAAAACAUUUAAAAUGAGUUUAGGGCAAAUCGUUCUUUUUAAAAUCUCUGCUUGUCUCGGGUGUUUCCUAGCUGUUUUACUCCUGUGUCCAUAGGGCAGGGAAAACUCCAGAAUUGGGGCAGAGUCUUGGUGUAUUUAUACAAAGCAAAAGAAGUCUGUGGAUUUUCUUGAACCAGAACUCAGUGCCUAAGCGCUCUGGGGCACGGGCAUGAGGAGUGGGGUGAGGGUAAUACGUGCGUGUGUAGGCUCACCUAAAGUUCAAGUUUUCCUUCCCAGAUUAAAGCUGGAGGAGAGCUGUGCCUUGGAGUCUUUCCUCUGCAGUUCAAGAAUGACUGGUGUGUUUGAGAAGGCCAAGGCCGACUUUCCUGGAAUGUUCACUAGGGAGCGUCACCCAAGGUUGAGCACAGCGCUCAGUGGAGGCCAGCGAGGGAGGCAGCGCUCAGCACCUGGUGCUCGGCUUCCCUCCCUCCAUCAGGUGCCGCGAAACCAGCAGCAUUUCGCUCUGCGGCAGGUUCUCUUCUCCAGAAAGAGUUCCUUCCCUAUGCUGCUCACCAGCCCCCCCAAAACACACACACUCCCAGCAGUUCUGAUUUGCCCCAUCUUCUUCACAGCUCGGCUUCUCCUUUCUGUAGAGACACGGAGCCAAGUAAAAAAAAAGAAAGAAAGAAAGAUAUCAUCCUGUCAACAUGCUUCUGGUGGCUGGGGCCUCUGGCCGCCGGCCUGGGGUGAGGCUGACACAGGAGGCAUGGGAGGAGUGUGGGCCCUGAUGACCCUGAACCACUGAGACCCGCUGGAAGCCUGCCCCCCUCGGAGGCCCCGGCCGAGCCCCUCUGACUCCGUAUCUGUUCUGCCACUCGGCUUACAAGCCAGCCCCACAGCCCAAGCCCGGCGGUGGGCAAGGGCUCGGACCCCAGGGACGCUGGCCUCUGUAAGUGGGCUCGGGUCCGCUGAUGAGCGGCGGGCCCUGGAGGACAGGAGUCCUCCGUCCUGGCUGAAUCGGCCCCGCUACAAAGAGCCCCAGGCCCUCCGCACCUACAGCAGAAGCGCGCCUCUGCACCUGUGUCCGCUUCAUGCAAGUAACCUCGCCUGCCUCUGCCGCCGUCCCUGUCCCCGCCCCCGUCCCAGCGGUCGGGGUCCCGGCGGAACCGUGCGUCCCGGCGGUGCGGGGCUGGACGGGGCUGGGCGGGGCGCGGGGCGGGCUGGGCGGGGCGGGGCGGGGCGCGGGGCGGGGUGGGCGGGGCACGGCCGCCCGCGGCGCCAGUUCCCGUCCGCGCCCCGCCCCGCCCGCGGAGCCGGGAAGUCCUGGGCGGUGGGCGGCACUGGGCGCUGCAGCGGCGGGGUCUGCGCCUCGGGCGGUCGGGGUCCCGCGGAGCAGAGGAGGCAGGUGGGCCCGCGCGCGCGUGGGGGCCCCUCCCGCAGAGCGGGCGGGGCGGCCUGUUUACCGGAGCGCUGGCUGUGCGGCUCGGGCCGGGGCGCGCGUCCGGGGCGCAGGGUCUGGGAGAGUCGCGCAGGGUGGGGACUCAGACGCCGCCUGAGGCCGUGAUGCUUGCGUGGAGAGGGAAGGGUGAACGCCCUUAACCGGAGUCGGGCAAACAGUGCUUUCGGAGGCUCACACGUGGCUUGGAGGGGCUGCAGGGGUUCCAGAGGCCGGGGCAGGAGGCUGGGUCGUUUAGGGCAAGUGCUCUUUGCGCUGAUCCCAGGGGCCGUGGGCGGGUUAAGAGCUGCGUGGAGGGCCAGGACGACGCCUUCCUCUGCGCAGAGUGUAUGUGGGGAGAGGUGGGGGACCCGUUCUGUCCUGAGGCUCUCAACCGGCGGCGCGGAGGCAGCAGGCAAGGCUUGGUGGUGACGCGUGUGAUGGAUGAAGGGGGCCUGAGGCCACUGGUUGGGUGAGAGAGGGUCUCAUUUCCAAGGUGGGCCGGAGAAAUGUGGGCUGGGGGACGAUGGCCGUGCCUCGUUCAGUUUCAGAUGUGCCCCCAGUUUCAGACGACCUGCCCACCAGCGCGAACACCGCCGACCUCCCCGCUUCACAGACACAGCCUCCCCGUUCUCGCUGGCUGUACCCCGUCACCCCGACUGUCCUUUCCUGGACCCCCCCCUUCCUCCUCGCCUUUCCACUCCGAUGUCUCCCAGGCACUCGUUUCCCCUGUCAUGCUCAGCCUACUCUGGAGGCUUUGGGUGGGAGGAAUGAGGGAAGCUUCCAAAUCCGUGUUUCUGAGUCAAAAACAAAAAAAACAGAACAAAACAAUGCACACUGUCUCGGCCCCAUUUCCAGUGACCAAGAGUCACCGGAGGUCUGGAGAACAGGAAGGGCAGGCGCUCUGAGCUGGGUUAUGGGUUAUUGGAUAAUGCUUGGCCAGAGGGAGCCGAGGGCCGUCCCCAGACUGAGCAGCCACUGUAGGUGAAAGUUGUUUGCUUCACAGCCCAUUUUAUACCCGUUUCCAGGCUGUCUGGAUACAAUUCGGCAUCUCAUACAUUUUUCAAGUAUCAGCUGGCACAUGGGGAGACCAUGGCCUGAGUCACAACUGAAAAUCUCACGAGGAGUCUUCACGUCUGCAAGAAGAGACGUGGUGGGCUUCCAUGGUGGCGCAGUGGUUGAGAGCCCGCCUGCCGAUGCGGGGGACGCGGGUAAAAUUCCAGAGUUAUUGUCGGGUAACUCAGUUGAUGCACAGACCAGGCUGGUCCUCCACGUGUUCAGCGUCCUGGGAGCUCUCAGAAGCCGUCACUUAGGAAUUUUCAUGGAGCGUGAUCGAUUAUUAAUUUGUAGCCCCCCUCCCCACCCUGGAGCCUGGGGGAUGGGACUGAAAGUUCAAACAUCUCAUCAUGGUUGGACCUUUCUGGAGAGCAGCCCCACCCUACAGCCAUCCGGGAGCCACCAGGAUUGGCCUCCUUAGAACAAGUGAUGCUCCUGUCACCCAGGAAGUGCCAAGGGAUUUAGGAGCUCUGUGUCGGGAUCUGGGGGAUGGGCAGAGACCAAUACAUAUUUCUUAUUAUAUCACAGCAUUUAUUGUAUAUAUGGCCAAAUUGGUGAACUCUUAGUCAUUUAAGAGUUUUCAAUACAUUCUCUUGGGUUUUCUGCUCUGUGGUUAUGCAAGAGGCAAAUGACCUUAAGAGGGAGCACAUCCUUCUCAUACACUCCUGGUUCCUGUUUUUAGAAUUUGUUUUUUGUUUUGUUUUGUCUUGGUCUUUUUUGCACUAUCCAGGAAUUCUGAGACAGAGUGUGCAAUCACCAUAAGAAUCCUUGUGCUGCCCUUUGUUAUAAUUUAGAGCUUGGUAAUUCCCAGUGCCCAUCAGACUAUGAAGAAGUGUGGUAUAAAUUCGGCUUUUUGGAGGGAAGUUAACAAGACUUUUUGGAAGUCUUUCAAUUUCAGAUGAAUGUUCCCUUGGGGCCAGCACUCUCACUUUUAGAUUAUCUGUUGUACAGAAGCAUUUGCACACAUGCUCAGAUAUGUUCCAGGUUCUUUUCUUCAGCAUUAUUUAAAAAAUUCAGAUCUACAGGGGUUUUAAGUUAUUAUUUUUAAUUGUGGUAAAAACACACAUAAUAUAAAAUUUAUUAUCUUAAUCA